This 208-nucleotide long non-coding RNA is filed under the name Elaeis guineensis (African oil palm). RNAcentral describes it as "long non-coding RNA (EGUI_LNC068848)". Lineage: Eukaryota; Viridiplantae; Streptophyta; Magnoliopsida; Arecales; Arecaceae. The record is from RNAcentral.
GAUCCACUUAUACCCUAUGAGUUUUAUCCCUUCAGGUGGGUCAACUAAUAUCCAUACAUCAUUGAUAUUCAUGGGCUCCAUUUUGGACUUCAUGGCUUCAAGCUAUUUAUCAGAGUCAGACCUCUACAUUGCAUCUAUAUAGGUGAUCGGAUCCUCAAUAUUUUCAUUAUGUUCAACAGGAUCCCUAUUUCGGAUCAAGAAACUGAAG